AUACGGGGGGUGCAAGCGUUGUCCGGAAUCAUUGGGCGUAAAGGGUUCGUAGGUGGAAUUAUAAGUCUGGUGUGAAAGCCCACAGCUCAACUGUGGAACUGCACUGGAUACUGUUUUUCUUGAGUUAUAGAGGGGUUUGUGGAAUUUCUGGUGUAGAGGUGAAAUUUGUAGAGAUCAGAAAGAACACCGGUGGCGAAGGCGACAAACUGGCUAUUAACUGACACUGAGGAACGAAAGCGUGGGGAGCGAACAGGAUUAGAUACCCCAGUAGUCC
Molecule: ribosomal RNA, 274 nt
Filed under: uncultured bacterium
Lineage: Bacteria
Description: partial 16S ribosomal RNA
Rfam family: Bacterial small subunit ribosomal RNA
Source: RNAcentral